CGGGUUGUCAUGCCAAUGGCACUGCCCGGUAGCUAAAUGCGGAAGAGAUAAGUGCUGAAAGCAUCUAAGCACGAAACUUGCCCCGAGAUGAGUUCUCCCUGAGACUUAGAGUCUCCUGAAGGAACGUUGAAGACGACGACGUUGAUAGGCCGGGUGUGUAAGCGCAGCGAUGCGUUGAGCUAACCGGUACUAAUGAACCGUGAGGCUUAC
RNAcentral lists this ribosomal RNA (210 nucleotides) under Salmonella enterica subsp. enterica serovar Dublin. RNAcentral describes it as "partial 23S ribosomal RNA". It matches the Rfam family "Bacterial large subunit ribosomal RNA", at positions 2717 to 2925 of the family's 2925-position model. The record is from RNAcentral. Lineage: Bacteria; Pseudomonadati; Pseudomonadota; Gammaproteobacteria; Enterobacterales; Enterobacteriaceae.